Molecule: ribosomal RNA, 406 nt
Filed under: uncultured bacterium
Lineage: Bacteria
Description: partial 16S ribosomal RNA
Rfam family: Bacterial small subunit ribosomal RNA
Source: RNAcentral
AUUGAACGCUGGCGGCAGGCCUAACACAUGCAAGUCGAACGAGUGGCGGACGGGUGAGGAAUGGCUGGGAAACUGCCUGAUGGAGGGGGCUAACUACUGGAAACGGUAGCUAAUACCGCAUACCAUCAGAUGUGCCCAGAGGGGAGUAGCUUGUGGGGGGGGUAACGGCUCACCAAGGCGACGAUCCCUAGCUGGUCUGAGAGGAUGACCAGCCACACUGGAACUGAGACACGGUCCAGACUCCUACGGGAGGCAGCAGUGGGGAAUAUUGCGCAAUGGGCGCAAGCCUGAUGCAGCCAUGCCGAGUGUAUGAAGAAGGCCUUCGGGUUGUAAAGUACUUUGAGCGGGGAGGCGUUACCCAAAGAGAAAGCACCGGCUAACUCCGUGCCAGCCGCCGCGGUAAUAC